GCGAUAAACGGUCACAUUAAAUUUAACCUGACUAUUCCACUGCAACAACUGAACGGACUGGAAACACUGGUCAUAAUCAUGGUGGCGAAUAAGUACGCGUUCUUGCAAAUCACCAGAAGGCGGUUCCUGAAUGAAUGGGAAGCCUUCAAGAAGGUGAUAAGCAGGAGAAACAUACGAAGGCGCAUAACGAUACCACUGACCCUCAGCAAUCUUAAACUUCUUAGACGAAUCACCAGAACGGAAAACAUCCUUCAUAGAAAUUUCACGCGGCGGCAAGUUGCCAUACAAAACAGGGUCGCCAGCAAUAUCGGUAUAAGUCAAAGCACCUUUAGCGUUAAGGUACUGAAUCUCUUUAGUCGCAGUA
Molecule: ribosomal RNA, 364 nt
Filed under: uncultured prokaryote
Description: partial 16S ribosomal RNA
Source: RNAcentral